RNAcentral lists this long non-coding RNA (901 nucleotides) under Mytilus galloprovincialis (Mediterranean mussel). The record is from RNAcentral. Lineage: Eukaryota; Metazoa; Mollusca; Bivalvia; Mytilida; Mytilidae.
ACCUGUUGAUACAAUUUGUAAGCUCUUUGUUAUUUAAUGUUACUUCCUCGUCUCUAUUUUUACCAGCUUUGACAAGUGUUUGGAAUGACUAAAUUUUCACUUCUGUUCUCCAUUACUGUAUACCUUACAACAAAAUUAUUUUCAUUUACCGGUGUAUAUUUUUCUAUUUGUCUGCAUUUUGUCCAAGGUUAUGGUCGUCUUUCUGAUAUAAUUUAACAUCUCACCCCUUAUUUUCUUCAUUUUGCAUUUAUGUUGGGUCAGAUAAAAUUUAUUUGAUUUUAGAUUUUUUGUGUUAAUUAAACACCACUUGGGGCUAUUUUAAGGCAGUUGGUUUUUAUAAGUGGAGGAAGCGUGGGUGCCUGCAUAAAAUAACUGACCUUUGAUAGUAAAACUGACAAUCCUAGUAAUUUAAGAUUGGAGUAAAGUGCACCUGCACGAGUGGGGUUGUAACUCACAAUAGGGUUGACUGGCUAGUGAUUAAAGUAGUAACUACUUAGAUCCCUCUGCUACUUAGCCACCAUUCAUUCAGUGUAUGUUCACUUGAUUGAGUUGAGCCAUAACAAUUGAUAUUUGCUAGCAUGUCUUUGUAUGUUGUGAUGUUAUACUAUUGUUUCAGGUAAGGAUGAAGGUUGGUUCCUAUUAAAAUUUUUAAACCAGCUGUAUUGUUUUACACUUGUGCUGUGUGAGGAACCUGAUGUUCAGUGGUUCAUAAUGAGAGGCUCUGUGUUGAAGACUGUACUUUGUUGAACUAUAAUGGUUUACUUUUACAAAUUGUGACUUGGAUGGAGAGUAGUCUCAAUGGCACUCAUACCACUUCUUAUAUUGUAUUCAAAACAGCAGUUCUCAAUCCAAAAUGUUCCUAUGAAAAAUAUUCCAAUGUAUGCAACUGUUAGCCUUUCUU